UGGCGGCAUGCCUUACACAUGCAAGUCGAACGGUAGAGUAGCAAUACUCGAGNAGUGGCGAACGGGUGAGUAAUAUAUCGGAACGUGCCCAGUCGUGGGGGAUAACGUAGAGAAAUUUACGCUAAUACCGCAUACGAUCUAAGGAUGAAAGCGGGGGAUCGCAAGACCUCGCGCGAUUGGAGCGGCUGAUAUCAGAUUAGGUUGUUGGUGAGGUAAAAGCUCACCAAGCCGACGAUCUGUAGCUGGUUUGAGAGAACGACCAGCCACACUGGGACUGAGACACGGCCCAGACUCCUACGGGAGGCAGCAGUGGGGAAUUUUGGACAAUGGGCGAAAGCCUGAUCCAGCAAUGCCGCGUGCAGGAAGAAGGCCUUCGGGUUGUAAACUGCUUUUGUACGGAACGAAACGGCUCUUUCUAAUAAAGAGGGCUAAUGACGGUACCGUAAGAAUAAGCACCGGCUAACUACGUGCCAGCAGCCCGCGGUAAUACGUAGGGUGCGAGCGUUAAUCGGAAUUACUGGGCGUAAAGCGUGCGCAGGCGGUUCUAUAAGACAGAUGUGAAAUCCCCGGGCUCAACCUGGGAAUGGCAUUUGUGACUGUA
This 601-nucleotide ribosomal RNA is filed under the name uncultured yard-trimming-compost bacterium. RNAcentral's name for it is "bacterial SSU rRNA". It matches the Rfam family "Bacterial small subunit ribosomal RNA", at positions 37 to 637 of the family's 1533-position model. The record is from RNAcentral.